CGGCGCUGCUGCGGAGCGGGCUCACCCUGCGGAGGAAGCGCAGCGCCGCUGGGGGCCGGACUCUAUCAAGAAGAAUUUCCAAUCCAUACCUCGAACAUACUCCAUCCCAGAUUUAUGGGGAGAAUUCUUCUUGUGCAGGAAGAGCGUUACGGAAUAUUAUCAUCGUUCAGGCAGCUGACCUGAUAAAGGACAGAGCGAACCUCAAGGGGUUU
Molecule: non-coding RNA, 212 nt
Organism: Odocoileus virginianus texanus
Lineage: Eukaryota; Metazoa; Chordata; Mammalia; Artiodactyla; Cervidae
Source: RefSeq, a predicted model, not a curated record